GACGAGGUGGCCGAGUGGUUAAGGCGAUGGACUGCUAAUCCAUUGUGCUCAGCAUGCAUGGGUUCGAAUCCCAUCCUCGUCG
RNAcentral lists this transfer RNA (82 nucleotides) under Xenopus tropicalis (tropical clawed frog). Its description in RNAcentral is "tRNA-Ser (GCT) (tRNA-Ser-GCT-16-1)". It matches the Rfam family "tRNA". Rfam says of the family: Transfer RNA (tRNA) molecules are approximately 80 nucleotides in length. Their secondary structure includes four short double-helical elements and three loops (D, anti-codon, and T loops). Further hydrogen bonds mediate the characteristic L-shaped molecular structure. tRNAs have two regions of fundamental functional importance: the anti-codon, which is responsible for specific mRNA codon recognition, and the 3' end, to which the tRNAs corresponding amino acid is attached (by aminoacyl-tRNA synthetases). tRNAs cope with the degeneracy of the genetic code in two manners: having more than one tRNA (with a specific anti-codon) for a particular amino acid; and 'wobble' base-pairing, i.e. permitting non-standard base-pairing at the 3rd anti-codon position. Lineage: Eukaryota; Metazoa; Chordata; Amphibia; Anura; Pipidae. The record is from RNAcentral.